RNAcentral lists this ribosomal RNA (548 nucleotides) under Madagascaria erythrocladioides. Its description in RNAcentral is "partial Bacterial small subunit ribosomal RNA". It matches the Rfam family "Bacterial small subunit ribosomal RNA", at positions 1 to 566 of the family's 1533-position model. Lineage: Eukaryota; Rhodophyta; Compsopogonophyceae; Erythropeltidales; Erythrotrichiaceae. The record is from RNAcentral.
UUGAAGGGUUUGAUCCUGGCUCAGAAUGAACGUUGUCGGCGUGGAUUAGGCAUGCAAGUCGAGCGACAAGCUCAGACGGAUCCCUUCGGGGUGAAGACUGAGUGGAGGAGCGGCAAACGGGGUAGUUAGGCGCAGGUACGUACCCUCAGGUCGGGGAUAGCCAUGGGAAACUGUGGGUAAUACCCGAUAAUCCGGUAACGGCAAAGGUGUGAUUCCGCCGGAGGAGCGGUCUGCGUGGUAUUAGCUUGUUGGUGAGGUAAUGGCUCACCAAGGCGACGAUCGGUAGCUGGUCUGAGAGGAUGAUCAGCCACACUGGGACUGAGACACGGCCCAGACUCCUACGGGAGGCAGCAGUGGGGAAUAUUGGACAAUGGGCGAAAGCCUGAUCCAGCAAUGCCGCGUGUGUGAUGAAGGCCCUAGGGUUGUAAAGCACUUUCGCCGAUGACGAUGAUGACGGUAGUCGGAUAAGAAGCCCCGGCUAACUCCGUGCCAGCAGCCGCGGUAAUACGGAGGGGGCGAGCGUUGUUCGGAAUUACUGGGCGUAAAGC